ACAGAAGCCUGCAAAUCCCAUGCUGACCUGGCGUUCUUGCUGUUGCACUUGUAAGUAUCUUUGAUCAGAAACUUUAUCUGCCACAGAGUUUCUUGUCAGCUUGAUGUUGGCAAACGCAAGUUGCUUCUGCUUCGACAGCGUUCUAAGGCCAUUGUAGGAAAAAAAAUAAUGUUACGGACCCAGGAGAGAAAGGUAAUAUUUCGAGAAAAACAGUGAGAACAGCGAAGAAAAUGGCAAAACUGCAUAGCGCUCCUUUAAUAUGUUGUUGUUCUGUAGCUACAUUUCUACAUUUCCUACAUUUCUUCUUCUUUAUAGAAUGUAUCAUGUCGUGGAGUUUGUCAACUCAAAGGAUGUUAAAGUUGUCCACUCUAAUUGGCUGAAAGGAGGCCAAAGUUUCUGGCGCCCUUUUGUAUCUCUUGCAAAGCUGCGUAGGGCAGCUAAAGAUGGGGUGAUGCCCGGUGCUGACUGGACUCGAUUCAGAGUCCGUGUGAUGUAAUCACAUGACGUGUAUGAGAUUGCCUGUGUAAAGCUGCUAGAGGCUACAAUUACCUCUGAUCUAAACACUGAAGAUGAGGACAACAGGCCAGAGUACAUGAAGAGAAAGAAUAGAGGCUGUAGAAGAAUGGUAAGCAGCAGUGAAGAGGAGGAGGAGGAGGAGGAAGAGGAGCAGGGGAGGACUGCUGCACCUCGUACCCCAACCAAAAGGAAAUCUUACACUCUACUUGCACCAGCCCCCUGCAUCCCGUCUCUUGAUGCUCUAGGUGAAGGGAGUCAGCCAGUUGGUCAAGGUUUUUGGUCCUCAGGCCGUAUUUCAGAGACC
Molecule: long non-coding RNA, 820 nt
Organism: Sander lucioperca (pikeperch)
Lineage: Eukaryota; Metazoa; Chordata; Actinopteri; Perciformes; Percidae
Exons: 4
Source: RefSeq, a predicted model, not a curated record